This 371-nucleotide ribosomal RNA is filed under the name uncultured organism. RNAcentral describes it as "bacterial SSU rRNA". It matches the Rfam family "Bacterial small subunit ribosomal RNA", at positions 526 to 896 of the family's 1533-position model. The record is from RNAcentral.
CGAAGGGGGCUAGCGUUGUUCGGAAUUACUGGGCGUAAAGGGCGCGUAGGCGGUACUUCAAGUCAGGCGUGAAAGCCCCGGGCUCAACCUGGGAACCGCGCUUGAGACUGGAGAACUAGAGUUCGGGAGAGGAUGGUGGAAUUCCCAGUGUAGAGGUGAAAUUCGUAGAUAUUGGGAAGAACACCGAUGGCGAAGGCAGCCAUCUGGACCGACACUGACGCUGAGGCGCGAAAGCGUGGGGAGCAAACAGGAUUAGAUACCCUGGUAGUCCACGCCGUAAACGAUGAGUGCUAGACGUUGGGGCCCUUAGGGCUUCGGUGUCGCAGCUAACGCAUUAAGCACUCCGCCUGGGGAGUACGGCCGCAAGGUUA